Molecule: ribosomal RNA, 406 nt
Filed under: uncultured bacterium
Lineage: Bacteria
Description: partial 16S ribosomal RNA
Rfam family: Bacterial small subunit ribosomal RNA
Source: RNAcentral
AUUGAACGCUGGCGGCAGGCCUAACACAUGCAAGUCGAACGAGUGGCGGACGGGUGAGUAAUGUCUGGGAAACUGCCCGAUGGAGGGGGAUAACUACUGGAAACGGUAGCUAAUACAGCAUACCAUCGGAUGUGCCCAGAUGGGAUUAGCUAGUGGGUGGGGUAACGGCUCACCUAGGCGACGAUCCCUAGCUGGUCUGCGAGGAUGACCAGCAACACUGGAAGUGAGACACGGUCCAGAAGCCUACGAGAGGCAGCAGUGGGGAAUAGUGAACAAUGGGCGCAAGCCUGAUGCAGCCAUGCCGCGUGUAUGAAGAAGGCCGUAGGGUUGUAAAGUACUUUAAGCGAGGAGGCGUUACUCGCAGAAGAAGCACCGGCUAACUCCGUGCCAGCAGCCGCGGUAAUAC